Molecule: non-coding RNA, 2688 nt
Organism: Zonotrichia albicollis (white-throated sparrow)
Lineage: Eukaryota; Metazoa; Chordata; Aves; Passeriformes; Passerellidae
Source: RefSeq, a predicted model, not a curated record
CCGCGGGGUCUGAGUUCCGCGGGGUUUCGUUUUGUGGGAGAAGGGAUAGGGCGGGCAGAGCGGGCCGGGUUCUCCUGGGGCAGGGAAAGGGUCUGGCACCGCCGCUUUCCGCAAGUAGACGCGGUGAUACAGGCUCGGGCUUACGGCUGCGCUUUGCCGGGACCAAAGGGUUGCGUAUUAAUUGUCCACAGCUUAUCGUUUUUUACUGUCAGCACGGGGACAACAACAACAACAAAAAAAAAAAAACAAACAAACAAACAAAAAAAAAUGUCAAGCGGAAAACAAAGUGAAAUACAUCGCGCAGCUUUCUUACUCGGAAAGGAGAAGGGGAAAUGGACAGAGAGCGUGCUGAUCGUAUUCAGACCAAAGCUGUGGCAAACCUCUAGCAGCGCGUUAAGCUGCUUCACGUUUGUGCUGGAGGAAAAGAUGCACUGUAGAAACAAUACGUGCAGCUCAACCCCAGCUAAAACAACUUAUCCCAAGGAAAUUCAGGUUAGAGCACAAUGCAAUGAAUGUAGUUCUGUGCAGACGUGCGUUUUAUAUAUGUGUUUGUGUAUGUCUGGUAGGAGGGAGGGAGGAAAAGCGAGUGUGGGAAAGAGAGAGUAAAUAACGAGGACAAGUAAAAUGGGCCGUCAAUGUAUGGGAUUUCUUGACGAAGAGUGCAAUGAGGAGGAUAUUGUAUGACUCUACCAUGGCAAGGGGUAAGAGGAAAGAAAAGGCACCGUUUAUAAAACUAUUUACUUUGGAAAUGCGGGAGUCUUACUGCAACGCCAGUUCCUUCCUGAGCUCUGCCCCAAACACGACUCCACUUCAGUGGUACCUUUGUGCAUCGGGGCACUGCAUGAGCGGCAGGUUUGGCUGCUCAGCUGUAGCUAAACCCGAAUUCGCUUAAAAAAGUCCCUCAUGGCAGGAUUUUCUAACAGGGAAGGUUUUGUGGAGUGUUUGGAGUAGAAGCUUGUGCAUGGUACUGAAGUGCACAAGCCCCAGCCCUGUGAAAUACGGGUGGGUGUGCAGAGGGGAGCCGCUCUCUGCAGAGUGUGAAUGGUGCCUCACCUGCGUGCUCGUCGACGCUGUGGAUGCACCGAACCGAGCGGCGGGGAUGGACCGAGAGUAUCCAGCUCCAGGAUCAGGAUGGGGCUGAAUAGCUGAGCUGAAACGUCCUGGCUGAAGUGCCAUUCAACAGCGAUCUCCGUGCAGCUCUUGGGUAUAACUCGUAAGGAUAGUGUUUCAACCACAUACUUUUCUGCCCCCGCCCUCCCCCCUACCUUUUUUUUUAUUAUUAUUAUUUUAAUUUUUAUUUCGUUUUUAAAUUAAAGGCUAAAGGAAGAAAAGACCCUCUCCAAUGUACACUUAAUGCAUAUAGCGUACUUCCCCUGCACCACCCCCCGCCCCAGCUUCAGCCUUCAAUCCCCCUUCACACGGGUAUAGUGGCUCUGUACUCUCGGGCUCUUUCAAGGCAGUUAAGCUGCUAAAAUGUACUGACAGCUUAAGAAAUGAAUGAGAUUUUUUUCAGCCAUGAAGAAAGGGUAUUUAGUAACCACGCUUCGAUGGCAUCAUGCUUCCAUGAAACGAGUCCGGACACUUUGGUUUAACAAUCAGUAAUAUCACAUUCGGUACAGUAAAUGCCUCCAUGUACGCUUAUAUAAUUCUAUUCCCCCUUGACUAUAACCUUGCCUUAUUUAUUCCAGGUUACCUGGGCAAUUAAGGUAAGGACUGCUCAGCAGAUACUGAUACCCUGCUGCUAAGGCAUGGCGAAUGGGGAUGGAGCAGUGCGCUAACAAAGAGAAAGAGGUAGUCAAACAUUUUGAAGAGGGGUGAAUGGGACUGAAGGUGGAUGGAUGAAUGGAGGCAAAGAGGGAGAGGAAGCAGCAUUCAAUGGUCCGGACUUCUCUCUGAAUUUGUAGAUUUAAGUUUAGGUGUCCGCCUCUAGUCAGCUUCCAGUUAAUCCUCAACAGCUUCUAGUGAUUAGAAGUUAGUCUAUUUAGCAUGCUAUAUCCUUCUUCCUUGGGUUUUAGUUACAAGUUAUACGAUUAGGAUUGCGAGAACAGUAGUGAACUAAACUUCCCAGUAAGAGGUCUUCACACCAGGGAAGUGUUACUUUGCUGCAGCAGCCCUGCCUCGUCAGUCAUUAGGAAGCUGCAGGUUGUCAGAGGCUUCUCUUGCGCGCACACAAGCGCAGACACACACGCGCACACACACAAAACCACAGCACUAAAACUAAAUUAAGAAGCCGAUGAUUAAGACAAGCGUCUACGAGGCCUGUCAUUUCAGCAUCCUUCCAUCAUAACAUUGUGGCACCGAGAAAUUUGCUUGAAAACCCUGGAAAAAAAUGUCUAUGGGAGAGCCUCGUAUUUGAGGCUGUUAAUAUCAAAUAUAGACUGGGAACUGCCUCGGAUGCAAGAUAGUAUUCCGCAGAGGAAAGGAGCACUGCUGAGACCUUGGUGCUAUCCGCGCACUCCCGAAACUCUGGAUUGACUUGAUCGUCUCUGAAAAUGCAGAACAGCCCAUGAGAUCUCUCCUUUCCACCAACCGUGUGGAAGACGCUUGCAGAACAGCCCUGAAAACAAAACAACUUAAUUGAAGGCAGUUCGUGCAACAAUUGUGUCAUGGAAUACCUUACAUUUCUUUAUCUGUAACUAACUUUUAAAAUUUUGGAUAGUUCAAUAAAUGUCAGCUCUGCCAAGCAUA